Molecule: transfer RNA, 71 nt
Filed under: Camelus bactrianus (Bactrian camel)
Lineage: Eukaryota; Metazoa; Chordata; Mammalia; Artiodactyla; Camelidae
Also listed under: 2 other names
Rfam family: tRNA
About the family: Transfer RNA (tRNA) molecules are approximately 80 nucleotides in length.
Source: Rfam by way of RNAcentral
GGCUGUAUAGCCAGUGGUAGAGCAUAUGCUUGGCAUACAUGAGGUCCUGGGCUCAAUCCCCAGUACCUCCA